UUUUUUUUUGGUAUGGCGCUCUUUUUUCCCCCGAAAAUUCUAAUCUCGCGCUCUCGCUCCAGACCCAAACCCUAAAAUUCCAAUAUCCACUCUCGCGCUGCCUCUCUCUCGCACUCUAGCUCCCUCUGUCUAUCUUUGGUUCUAUCCGGCCUCUCUUCCUCUUUCGCUAGGAGAUUAGCCAGCAAUCUCAACACCUCCUGUCAUCAUCUGUCUGUCUCUCUCCGUGUCUCUGUCUUUGGUUCCAUCUCUUCUAACCCAAACCUGCGCUUUCUCUCUCUCAUCUACAAACUCUCCAAAUCUCACAAAUAUCUCUGAGUCCAACACCAAAAUAGCAAGGUUGUGUAUGCACCCUAUCUUUCAUCUGUCAACGAGCAUGACUUGGAGAAGGAACACUGCAAGUGAAAUGUUGAAGUCUGGAUCACGUUCAUGAAUGCUAUAUACAUGUUUUCUUUUUUGUUAUCUCAGUUUGGUGUAAAUGUUUAAUAUAUUUUUAGCUUUUUUUGGGAAUGUUAUUGAUCUUUUUGGGCAUGUAUAAUAUAAUGUGUUGUUUGGAGACCACUAGACCAAAAAACGUAUUGUUUUGAGAUAUUUUAUUUUAAGAUUUUAAAAAUCAUUAAAAAAA
Prunus avium (sweet cherry) is the source of this 622-nucleotide non-coding RNA. The record is from RefSeq and is a predicted model, not a curated record. NCBI's taxonomy places the organism in Eukaryota, Viridiplantae, Streptophyta, Magnoliopsida, Rosales, Rosaceae.